Molecule: non-coding RNA, 183 nt
Filed under: Sporofaciens musculi
Lineage: Bacteria; Bacillati; Bacillota; Clostridia; Lachnospirales; Lachnospiraceae
Description: 6S / SsrS RNA
Rfam family: 6S / SsrS RNA
About the family: E. coli 6S RNA was the first non coding RNA to be sequenced, but its function was unknown until recently. It consists of 184 nucleotides that fold into an extended hairpin structure with a large single-stranded internal bulge.
Source: Rfam by way of RNAcentral
GGAAACCUGGGGUGCUCGAUAAUCUUGUAAUUUUGAACCUACAAAACUUUAAACGGGACUCCUACAUCUCCGUAAUAUGCCAGGCCUCCAAGUUAUGCAGUGGAAGGCAGAAAAGCGGAUGCGGACACCCACCUAGCAUCAGGCUAGGAGUCAAAAUACAGGAACCGGCAUUUUGGGGGAGCU